RNAcentral lists this long non-coding RNA (971 nucleotides) under Canis lupus familiaris (dog). RNAcentral's name for it is "lncRNA (ENSCAFG00000037664.3)". Lineage: Eukaryota; Metazoa; Chordata; Mammalia; Carnivora; Canidae. The record is from RNAcentral.
GGGAGCCGAUGCACGGAAAGCUCCGCAAGGGGAUGAGAAUCCAUCUUCCACCCGGGCUGGGGAGAGACUUUGUAAAAGAUAUUAUGUAAUGGAGUCUCGGGAAGCUCGAGACGCCUCCAGCGAAGCUGCUGGUGAAUUAAUUAAGUGCUUUGAACGGUCUAGGUAAAUAUUCCGCAGGGGGUGGGCAGGACGGUGGAGGGCUGCUGCUGCAGCUCGAGUUGAAUUUUAACUGUCCACAUCCUGUGUGUUUGGUCGCUCUGCUGUGUGUGCGGAGGUGCUAUGUUACGGGAGGGGGGGCGGUGAAUGCAAAGUAGCAGAGCUGAAUUUCUCCCCCUUGGGUAAGGCCAAACACUGGAUUACUACAAGUCUUGACAUGAUUGGACCCGUGUAUCUCAUGCAUCAUUAAUGUCAUCUGACAUUGCCCUGUUCUUUCCCAAGCUCCUGGACAGAAGCGGACAAUGGCGUCGGAUUUCAAAUUUUAUGUAAAGGCCUUAAUUCUAUAUUGAUGUGACUUCUAGCUUCCAUGAAACUUAAAUACAGACCUUAUGAUGUUUGACAUUGGAUAAGAAAAUUCUCCACCUGGAUAAGCUGUUUCUGGAAAGCACUGGUGCAGCCUCUGUCAGAUCUCGUCAACCUACACGGUCUGCUCCGCCAACAGCUAAUAGCGAAAUGACUGCGAGGAAGCCAGUGACAGCGGUAGCUGUCGGCAUUUAUUUUACCUUUGGUUUCUGCUGCACGGAAAAUUCCAGCACUGAUGAGGUCUGAGCUGUGGGGGAGACACGGGGAAGUAAGUGUGCACUGGGUUUGAAGAAGGUGGCACUCUCAAAGCUGCCCUUUCUCCUACAGUAACAUGACACUUGGGCUGAGUAGUCUCCAGCAGUGUUAAUGCCUCCUUUGGACGUUUGUCCAUGAAGAUCGCAGGCUUGACAGGAAGCAUCCAGGGUUGUGUACUGUCACCAAGGCUCGAGGAC